Molecule: ribosomal RNA, 253 nt
Filed under: uncultured bacterium
Lineage: Bacteria
Description: partial 16S ribosomal RNA
Rfam family: Bacterial small subunit ribosomal RNA
Source: RNAcentral
UACGUAGGCAGCGAGCGUUGUUCGGAGUUACUGGGCGUAAAGAGUGCGUAGGCGGUUUUCUAAGUUUGGUGUGAAAUCUCCCGGCUUAACUGGGAGGGUGCGCCGAAAACUGGAAGGCUUGAGUAUGGGAGAGGUAAGCGGAAUUCCUGGUGUAGCGGUGAAAUGCGUAGAUAUCAGGAGGAACACCGGUGGCGAAGGCGGGUCUCUGGGCAGUAACUGACGCUGAGGAGCGAAAGCGUGGGGAGCGAACAGG